AAACAUAUUUCCAUAAACUAGCCUAUACAUGUCAUAUUUACACAACUUCCAUGAGUUCAAAAGUACCGAGAAAUUGACUGGAUAGUGUGAUGCUUAUCUCCAACGUCGUCUGAAUCGAGCUAGCUAACAAACCACUAUAAAACACGAAGGAAUAAACUGAGUAAGCAUUAAAGCUUAGUAAGUUGAUAUGUAAAUAAUAAGCAAUCUGUUAACAUGCUUUUACCAAUCCUCAC
This 233-nucleotide long non-coding RNA is filed under the name Gossypium barbadense (sea-island cotton). RNAcentral describes it as "long non-coding RNA (GBAR_LNC018581)". The record is from RNAcentral. Lineage: Eukaryota; Viridiplantae; Streptophyta; Magnoliopsida; Malvales; Malvaceae.